CCAAGACCUAGUAUGUCUGAGGGGAAAGAAUUGUGAGGAGAAAUUAAAACAGAUGUGAAAAUAAAUGUCUUUGAGAGGCCUCCUAACUUGAGCCAGGGGAGUUGGGGCAAUAAAAACCCCAUGGCGGUCAAGGACAGAGUGGGAACAGAGGGACCUGUGCUUCACAGGAGUGCCUGGCAUGGCACCAACAACGACUAUUGACCAGCAAUGAGGGGCCAAGGGAGUUUCUCCACAACGCCUACUCCCUGGCAAGGAAAAGAGAAAGCAGCCAGGUGUGCAUAACUGAGCAAGCAUUACAAGCUUGCAGAGCCCAGCGAAGCAGAGACUGUCAUCAAGAGAAUGCAAAUCCGUGGGCCUGCUGACUGGAGACCAGGGUGGGAUUCAGGACAUGAAUGGUAGAUGCCAGCCCACGACUGUGAGGACAAGAUGUGACAGCUUCUGGCUAAGUAGAUGCCAGUGGAGCGUGGAGGAUAGUGGUCUCUCCCUUGACCACUGUUAUUCUGAUGUUCCAUGAGAUGGGUGGCAUUUCCUUAGGAGAUACACGUCUUCCCAGGACUCGCCUUCGGUGGGAGGCACAAAUCUUCCCAGCCUGGAUCCCACCACAUUCAUCUGAGGCCUCUGUUCUAUACCUGGAACCCCCAGGGCUCAAGUGGGUCAGGAAGCAGGGAUCUCCAAGCUGCAUCCACGUUUAUAUCCUGUAUUGGUUCAACCUGCUCAACAAAGAUAGCUCUUAACAUUUCUAAGUGGCUUAAAAUAAAUCAAAAGAGGAUUAAUAGUUUGUAACACCUGAAAUGAUAUAAAAGUCAAAUCUCAGUGAUCAUAAAUAAAGUUUUAUUGGAAGACACCAGAACUCACUCAUUUACAUAUUGUCCGUGACUGCUUUUGCACUCUAACAGCGGAUUUGAGUCUCGGAGAUAGAGACCGUAAGACCCACAAAACUUAAACUGUUCACCACCCAGACUUUGACAGUAAACAUUUGUUGACCCUGGUCCAGCAUGAGCUGACACCCUGUCACCGCCAGCGGCAUGUAGUGAAAGCUACUGUUGCCCUCAGAAUGGGCUGGAAAGCAGAUGAAACAACUUCCACCGUCAGGCUGCCAGCUGCCAGAGAGGGCCGUGGCUGUCCCCUGUGUGUGAGGGGAUCAAUGCAUGGUCCCCCCGUGGUGAAUUUUCAAUAGCUCCAAGUUAAAAAUCUCCCUUCAGAACCAAACUGAUGUUUAUAAAUGCCUUUGGAAGAAAAAGUUACUGCUUUCUUAUAAUAGAUUAACUUUUCUUCAAAGCAGAAGAAGCUUGAACUGAUUAAUAACUUCCUAGCAGGAAGAUGAUCUCAAACCAGUUCUGGUUAAUUUUUAGAUGAAUCGAUUAGAACCACAAACUUGGGUCCUUAAAAUAUUAAGGACUGCCCCAAAUAAAAAAUGAUUAAUUCCUG
Long non-coding RNA from Mustela lutreola (European mink), 1428 nucleotides. RefSeq lists it as uncharacterized. NCBI's taxonomy places the organism in Eukaryota, Metazoa, Chordata, Mammalia, Carnivora, Mustelidae. The record is from RefSeq and is a predicted model, not a curated record. The transcript is spliced from 2 exons.